This 624-nucleotide ribosomal RNA is filed under the name uncultured bacterium. RNAcentral's name for it is "bacterial SSU rRNA". The stretch from base 1 to 531 matches the Rfam family "Bacterial small subunit ribosomal RNA", at positions 338 to 873 of the family's 1533-position model. The record is from RNAcentral.
CCUACGGGAGGCAGCAGUAGGGAAUAUUGGGCAAUGGAGGCAACUCUGACCCAGCCAUGCCGCGUGCAGGAUGAAGGCGUUAUGCGUUGUAAACUGCUUUUAUAUAGGAAGAAAGAGUUCUUGCGAGAACAGUUGACGGUACUAUAUGAAUAAGCACCGGCUAACUCCGUGCCAGCAGCCGCGGUAAUACGGAGGGUGCAAGCGUUGUCCGGAUUUAUUGGGUUUAAAGGGUGCGUAGGCGGUUUAUUAAGUCAGUGGUGAAAGACGGUCGCUCAACGAUUGCAGUGCCAUUGAUACUGGUAGACUUGAGUGAGAUUGAGGUAGCUGGAAUGGAUAGUGUAGCGGUGAAAUGCAUAGAUAUUAUCCAGAACACCAAUUGCGUAGGCAAGUUACUAAGUCUCAACUGACGCUGAGGCACGAAAGUGUGGGUAUCAAACAGGAUUAGAUACCCUGGUAGUCCACACUGUAAACGAUGAUAACUAACUGUUGGCUUUCGGGUCAGUGGUACAGAGAAUCGUUAAGUUAUCCACCGUCGGGAGGUACGGCCGGCCGACGGUAGUAACGUUAAACGGUAAGUUAGUACGGCGUGAGACGUUAGCCGACGGACGACGACGAGGGAGGAGG